This 106-nucleotide non-coding RNA is filed under the name Chlorobiota bacterium. RNAcentral describes it as "Chlorobi bacterium TPP sequence". It matches the Rfam family "TPP riboswitch aptamer (THI element)". From Rfam's summary of the family: Vitamin B(1) in its active form thiamin pyrophosphate (TPP) is an essential coenzyme that is synthesised by coupling of pyrimidine and thiazole moieties in bacteria. The previously detected thiamin-regulatory element, thi box was extended, resulting in a new, highly conserved RNA secondary structure, the THI element, which is widely distributed in eubacteria and also occurs in some archaea. The record is from RNAcentral. Lineage: Bacteria; Pseudomonadati; Chlorobiota.
AAAUUUUGUAUGGGGUGCUAUUCCGUGUUUCACGGAUUGGCUGAGAAAAUACCCGAUGAACCUGAUCCGGAUAAUGCCGGCGUAGGAAUUAAAAAUUUAACGUUUA